GACGAACGCUGGCGGCGUGCUUAACACAUGCAAGUCGAGCGGUAAGGCCCUUUCGGGGGUACACGAGCGGCGAACGGGUGAGUAACACGUGGGUGACCUGCCCUCAGCUCUGGGAUAAGCCUGGGAAACUGGGUCUAAUACUGGAUAUGACUCCACGGUGCAUGUCGUGGGGUGGAAAGCCUUGUGCGGCUGAGGAUGGGCCCGCGGCCAUCAGCUUGUUGGUGGGGGAUGGCCUACCAAGGCGACGACGGGUAGCCGGCCUGAGAGGGCGACCGGCCACACUGGGACUGAGACACGGCCCAGACUCCUACGGGAGGCAGCAGUGGGGAAUCUUGCGCAAUGGGCGAAAGCCUGACGCAGCGACGCCGCGUGAGGGAUGACGGCCUGG
This 388-nucleotide ribosomal RNA is filed under the name uncultured bacterium. Its description in RNAcentral is "bacterial SSU rRNA". It matches the Rfam family "Bacterial small subunit ribosomal RNA", at positions 28 to 419 of the family's 1533-position model. The record is from RNAcentral.